UAAAGGUCUCUGAGGAGCUGCUAACUCUUCUAUAGUUUUACUAACCUUUUU
Molecule: transfer RNA, 51 nt
Filed under: Hygrobates turcicus
Lineage: Eukaryota; Metazoa; Arthropoda; Arachnida; Trombidiformes; Hygrobatidae
Description: tRNA-Ser
Source: RNAcentral